This 221-nucleotide long non-coding RNA is filed under the name Ictidomys tridecemlineatus (thirteen-lined ground squirrel). RNAcentral describes it as "lncRNA (ENSSTOG00000030951.1)". The record is from RNAcentral. Lineage: Eukaryota; Metazoa; Chordata; Mammalia; Rodentia; Sciuridae.
CUGGCGGGCAGCCGACACUUCUGAAAUGAGAGGCACAGGCGUGGUGCCUACCGAUCUGCCCAGGGCUGCACGUCUGCCCCUGGGGACUACUUGCCGGCUGUGUUCAUUGCCCAAACGCGGGUUUGGAGGAGGAAGUGGGGCACCAUGACGCGGCCCGAACUGUUCUCACAGAGCCCAAAGCCACGGCCCCUUCCCGCCCCUGGACCUCCCUGGCAUCCCAG